UAGAAGUUUCAAAUCUAGAGUUUGCCUUUCUUUGGCUUUCCCCGAGUUUUCCUGCGAUUUCCGCCGGAAGCCAGAGUUUCCCUCUGAUUCCUUUUGAUUUUUCAAUUAUAGACAUAUACAAAGUCUCAAUGAUAUAUGAAGAACUUUGAUUAAAAAGUAUGAAUUAUUCGCGUCAUGGACUUCACGUGAGAAGUUGUGACUGUAUAAAACGAAAAAGAGAUUCCGUACAACUGCAAUUAUGAAUUAAAAAAUCUCAGAGUCCGACGUCCUUGAGCCGUUCAUCAAAAAGAGGCAAACCACAUGCCCGAGAGGUGAGAAAACAGUUAUUCUCGAUUAGUUCGACUGCAUUCCGGUGUGAGGCAGCCUAAUUGUGCAGUUAAGAUACUCAACCAAUUUUUGUCAGGAAGAAAUGUGAAUGGGGCUAGCUCGCUGAUCCAUCGUGGAAAAUUAAUUCGAUCCGACAAUAAUUUAGGCAAGGAAGAAUUUAUAUUGGAGUCACACAUCCAUGAAAAUAAUACAAUAUUAAUUGUCCGUGGCUUCAGUAUUUGGGUUUGAUAAUAAUGUCAACAACGUAUUGUAUGGAGUCAAUUUUUCUCUUUGAAUACUUGAAAUUCCACACCUAGUGUCAAACUUUAAAAAAUAUAGCUUUUUUUUCUCUAUCUCCAUAAUCUAUAUAAAAAAAAAUAACUUACUAAAAUUCCAAGUGCCUGCCUCAACUGAUUUCUGACCUAGCUUAUAACAUUAACAUUAACGCCUGCAAUAAUGAGAUUUAUAAUUUCAAUUUUAAACGCGUUUUUUAAAUCAAAUUCUUCGAAGCUCUAUCAAUUUGUUGAACUUCAAUUUCUUCUCACAAUUCUGGCGAUUAUAUAAACAAUAUUUUCU
Molecule: long non-coding RNA, 882 nt
Organism: Fopius arisanus
Lineage: Eukaryota; Metazoa; Arthropoda; Insecta; Hymenoptera; Braconidae
Exons: 3
Source: RefSeq, a predicted model, not a curated record